Molecule: long non-coding RNA, 7946 nt
Organism: Brienomyrus brachyistius
Lineage: Eukaryota; Metazoa; Chordata; Actinopteri; Osteoglossiformes; Mormyridae
Exons: 4
Source: RefSeq, a predicted model, not a curated record
UGUCUUUGUCAGCUGGUCGGAUUGAAGUGGAGGAACAUCAGAUUUUUGAAAGUCCCAAAACGUAUAUUAUUAACUCUGUAUAACAUUUCAUUUUAUAGCUGAAAAGCUCCUGAUCAAAUGUUGUAGAACUGACUUCAUGUUAUAAAAGGUAAUACUGGACAAGCUGGACAUAUUUCAGAUUCCGAGGCUCCUGAUACGUGUCAACACCCUCGUCAUAAGCUCACUUGUAGGCCUCACUGAACAGUUCCUCCGUUCUACAAUUCGCCACGGACCUGACCAAAGUGGUGGAGCUGCUGAGUGCUGCAGUGUCUUGCUGCCCCCUGCAGGUGAGAGACGUCGCCACAGGCCCCGAUGUGAGGCCACUCCAAGGGACAUUCCAGAUGUGUUGUGACUCGUGCACGUUUAAGGCUGGAAAGAAUUUGGGCAACAUCAGAGUAGAUGACUGCCAAGUUCAUUUUAAAGAGAGUUGUACGUUAGUGUCUUGCGUUGCUGACGAUGAAACUUCAAGAUUGAUCUGGAUUUGGGUAAAAGCUGAGGUUCAGAGGCGGGUUUAGACGGUGGGGCCUUUUGCAGGGUGAAACACGGGGCCCCAACACCUGAAUGCAAUUCCUCAGAUUGCUGAUGAUAUAAGCAGAGCAUUUUCAUGCCAGAGGAAACGUGAUCCCACCAGCUGGCCCAGCUCUACGUCAGGUAGUGCUGUGGGGCGACAGGGCAGCACUGGAUGGGGGACACUGAAGGUGGCCUAAGUUGGCCUCCCCCCCUCAGCUCCAUCCCCAUCCUGCCCGAGAGGCUGGGGUAGCCGGCGUCCCAUAACGUCUGUUAUGAUGAUGCAGCUGGCAGGGACAUAGGAGAGAAAUGCCAGAAGGUGCCACUGUGGCAGUGAGGUGGAGAGAUCAAGAGGCUGAGAAGGAGACCUCACACUUCUGUGGACUUCAACACUGUGGUCUUUAAAGGGACGCUUUAUAUCGAUGCAGCAUAUCCCUUUAAUACCUAUUAGAAUACUAGUGUUUCGCUUUAAAACCUCAGUUAUUUGUAUACUAUAUGCCCAUAAGAAUGCAUGUUAGCGUGUCCCUUUAAAACCUCAGUAUUUUAUAUACUAUAUACCCAUAAGAAUGCAUGUUAGUGUAACCCUUGAGUACCUCAAUAAGGUGAAUAGAUUUUUAAUAAUACCGCCCUGAAUUCUAAAUUGAUGGUGAUUAAGCUUAACUCUGAACCACAGUGGUGGCAAUAACUUGGAGUGCAAACAAUAUCCAAACAAACACAACCUUUAGGCUGAAAUUGUGACAACUUAGAAACACAUUUAGAAACACAUUCAUAACAAAUAAUAAUGGAUUCAUAAAGCAUUAUAAACAUGGCUAUAAAUAUUUAUCAAAAGGCAUAACACAUAGCCCUGGUUAUUAUGCAUUAUGAAUGCUCUAUGAAGCACUCAACUAUAAUGCACUAUAGAUAUAUUCAUAAGAAGUAUAGUUGUUGGUAUAUGCAUUGGGGAUGCUUUGUACUGCAUUAUAAAGGUAUCUAUAUUGCAUUAUAGAUGAGAGCUUCAUAAAGCAUUAUAAUGUUUAAUACACAUGGCUAUAAUGUGUUAUGCCUUUUUAUAAAUAUUUAUAGUCAUGUGUUUAAAGCUUUAAGAAUGCAUUACAAUGCAUGAUGAAUGUGUUUAUAAAUUACCAUAUAAGUUACCAAAAGAACAAUUAAUUUUCUUUUCUUUGUGAACAGACCUUCAGCCUGUUGUAGGACUGCAAUAGAUAAAUAUUACAGAACCAUAAAUAUGGAAAAUGCUGUAAAAAUACCAGAAGUACAGUGACCAGGUGCAAACUUGGCUGUCACCAGCCUUACCCAGAACAUAUUUUGGUUUACAUGCCUUUUUGUUGGUUUUAUAAUUAAAACAAAGUACAUCUUGCAGCAUUUUCGUGAGCACAGGAUGAAUGAAUCUUUGAUAAGCUAUCAUAUAAAAGAAAAGAUAAUUCCACGUUUAUAGAGCCGAUUUGAGCCAAAUGAUGUCUUAUUUGUAAAUGUAGUUUAGCAAUCUUCAAUGACUGGGGUUUAUACUCACUGUCAUUGCACGUGGCACGUUGCUCUGUUGCCUGCCCGCCCAUCCCAAACUACGUGUUUUGUGUCAACAAGAUGGAUCCGCUGACAUUUCCUUUGAAUUAAGCCUAUGACAAGUGUGUCUCUUCUUCUGUGGAGCCGGUUUCACUUAUGCAAGCCAUGUGCUGUGAGCAGGGGAAUCGAAACAUCAUAAGAAAGCAAACAAUCCCAAACAUCAGCCCCCAUAAUGGGAUUUUCUGAGGUUCUCUGUUUACCCCGCUUUGUGUAAUACAUCAUUACUUAAUGCUCUGCACAUAUAUACUGUGGUUUUCUUUUGCCGGUUUCUUAGUCGGCUUUAAUCAGAUUUGUACGGCCUUUGAAAAGAAUGGCAAAUUAUCAAAAAGCUAAGUACAGUGCAGUGGACGGGUGUUUUAUUCUGUCUGCAGAUUUAUGGAGUAAACAAUCUCUACAGCGGUCCUGCUAUGACAUGCAGGGAAUAAGCGAAGUCACAUGGUCGGCCUUUGCCCUUUUUCUCUCUUCAACAGCCUGAACUCCAAGCCAUGAAUAUUUUUUAGUAUGGGAGAGCAGGAAAAAUUGCUACAUGGAUUGUCUAGAUUUGCCAAGGGAGCUGCUGCCUCACGCUUCCAGGGGUGUCAGUUCUAAUGCACCUCCCUCUCUUUCUCUCCGCAGACUUUGGAUAUCCUCCCUUUCUCUCUGGCAUUCCUCCAGAAACUUUGAUUCCCUCCCACAAUCUGAAGAGAUUCGGUUCAGGCAAACUAAUGACUUGAUUUAACCCAUGUUUCUGAUAGUGAGUAUGUAUGUUUGUUUGUCUGUCUGUCUGUCUGUGUUUGUGUGUGUGUGUGUGUGUGAGGGAGAGAGAGAGAGAGAGAGAGAGAGGUGUCCUACCCAGGAUUCACUCCAGCUCCCCACAGGCUCCAAAUAACAACUUUAACCGAACAAGCAUUUCAAAACAAGGAGAGACAGACUGACACUUAUCCCACCAAUACUUUAAAAACAAGGAAACUGAACACCUGUACUUCUUAUGUCUCAGCCUGCGAACUGAAACUGUAUCUUGCAAAGAAAUGCUUACUUGAGGGGAACAGUACUAUCCGAGCUAUCAGCGACCAUUAUCCGUUUCCAAGUACUUUUCUCAAGGGUCCAACAGCAGAAACAUUCUUAUGGAUCAACUCAGCGAACUAUGGAUUCCAAGAUUACAAAUCUGCAUCCUUACAUAUAAAUGUUCUGAUCCGAUAUUUUGUGCUAGUAUUAAGUAUGACUGUACAAAAUAAUUAUCCGAAACACAGCCUGAAAGUGUGCGUACAAAAAUGGGGGGGCGCAGAGAGAGGUACAUAGGGUUGGGGAGAGGGCCAGUCGCACUCGACUGCGCCGCGGUCGGAGCAGCCCGAGUAUCUGUUUCACAUUAAAUUCACGAUGUGCCCGAAGGCACUGCUACGUGAACAUAUAACUUACCCAUGUAAUUGUGCCAAAUGAAUCCUAGAAGAUGCAAUGGGAUACCAGAGAUGUGCGUGUCGCGCUCCUUGUGUGUUCCUGUAAAAGAAAGGCUCAUUAAUUACAAUGUGCUGUUGCAACAUUUCACUAAUGCACCAUUAAUUAUGCAGCUUUUAUGUAUCAUAUAAGCUGGUAUUGGCUAACAUAUUGGCCUGUAGAAGUUUGGAUCACAUGUGUAUAAAUUAUGUAGAGUAACUGGAUUCCAUUUACAAAUAUAUAAGAUCUUUUUGCCGUAUUUUAAAUGAUUAUGCUGAAUUAGUCUUUGCGAAAUCCAUAUGUGGUCUCUGGCAGGAUGGCUACAUGAGCAUCGCUUUUGUCCUCAAACAUCUCUUCGGGGGCAGUGCAGUCAUUACUGGUUUACCUUAAUCUUCACCACCGGCUCACUUAAUUGACAUAAUCAGUUAAAUAAAUCAAUGAGAUAUUGAUUAGCCAAACAUGGAAUACUAGUGGUCGAGUUGUCAAAUGCAUGGGUAUAUAGGAUAGUUUCUGCAAAUACCAGGGUGAAUUUCAGAGAGGUUUUGAAGGAACUUUGACAAAUAUAAUGUCAUUGUUUUACAAGAACAUGAAGAUCAUUUAAACACAGUUUUCUUUGGUGGCCUGAGACUUUUGCACAGAACUAUAAAGCAUUCCCAAAGUCGUAAAACAAAGAGAAUUACAUUCUGUUUCAGCGGUCGGAGCAGCUCGAGACAUUCCUAAAAUCUUGAGCUCUCAUUUUCUACAGUACCUAUGAGUAAUUUGUCAUUUAUGUCAAUGAAGUAGGUGACAGGUUUCUAUGAGCCUGCAAGAAGAAUUAUGUCUGUAUUUUCAUUUAGCCUUUUACCCACCCACCUUCAGAUUUUAAGAAUUAUUAAACAAUUUGUGUAUAAAAUUUGUUCACCCGGGGAAUGGGGUGGAAAAAUUACUAUCCAUCCAUUUUCUGUACCUGCCUGUCCUGUACAGGGUCACAGGCGUCCAGAGCCUAUACUGGAGGCUACAGGUGCAAGGCAGGGAACAACCCAGGAUGUGGCGUCAACCCAUCGCAGGGUACACUCACCAUUCACACCUACAGGCAAUUUGGCAGCUCCAAUUCACCUCAGCAUAUUUUUGGACUAUGGGGGUGGAAACUGGAGUACCCGAAGGAAACCCCACGACAUCACAGGAAGAACAUGCAAAGUCCACACACAUGGAAUCAUGGCGGAGGCUCAAACCCGAGUCCCAGAGGUGUGAGGCAAGAGUGCUAACCACCGGUCAUACAAAACGAGUUAAAGUUAGUGAUGUGUUUCAGCUGGAUUAAGCAGAUACUCUUGUGCUCUACUCUUUGGGGAAAGAUUUCUAUUAGAUGGUGCAACAUUACUGGUGGGAAUCGUUAAUAUUCAGGUAGGGUGAAGAGCAGGAGUUUGAAAGACCUACAGCUCACAACUGGACGUGCUCCAAGACAUUACCAGUCUUACCUGUGGUUGGCCAGGACAGCUGUAGCAGGACAUUUAGAAAACUGACUUGUUAGGAAAGAUGGAGUCUUAGGAUGGAACCAAGCUGAAAGUCUCUAAGCUUUUACAUGAGACAACCUAUUCUUCUGUCAGUGUUUGUUGCUGGAAAAUGCAGGGCUGUGAUCUUAAUUCUUCACCCUUGUCAUCAAUGGGUGUGGCUUAAUUAGCCAGCUAAUCUAGUUAAAAUAGUAUCUGUAUACUUCUAGUCAAAUAGUGCAGUUUUGUGGCAGUAGGUUUGAUAGAUUAAUUGAAGCCAGUUAUAUAUCAAAUUCUAUUAAAGGAUUUGAAGGUAUUAAAUAUCCCAAAGAGCAAGAUUAAAGACUUUAGGUCUUUUCUCUUUUUUUCUGUUUCAUAAUUGCAUGCAAUUAUUGUUUUCUUUGGUUUGUUUGAGUCUCCUACGGUCUUCAUGCACUUCGUUACCAGAAAAUCCCAAGUUUUCCUAGAAAGGAUUUUCCUGUACUGCUUUGUCAGUAAACCAACCAAUAAACAUGCGCAUUCGAUCAACAAGGGUUAAAUUAAUUUAGAAUCGAUUUCGACGAUAGUGUGUGUUUCACCUGCGGAACAAUGUACGAUUCACUCUGCGAUGACAUUCAGCACAUGCAGGGCAGAUUGAAUGUCCGUCUGCGUGUGUGAGCAGCCCCAGCGCCGCGGGACUUGCACAUUCCCGCUUAGACCGCCGGACCCUUGUUUCUCCUUCCUGUUACUCAUACAUUUCCCUGAGCGUUUGUCCCUCAGCACACAUCUCUCAGUUUGAAUUACAGAUUUCUCAUGUUAUCUAGCAGGGGAAGCGCAAACCACAAAGUCUGAAAGGUGCCUUGCUCUGACCUGAGGCAUUCCUCUGACUAAAGAGGCUUAAAGGUUACAGGCUGACAAAUGCUCUUAGCUCAAUUCCCCCCCCCCCCCCCCCCAAACCCACAGCAUCCUGAAAGGGCCUCCUGUCCCUUUCCCUAGCGAAUCACUCCCUCAUUUGCGUGUUGUCUUUGCAGUAACACGUCGCUCCAUUUUCUCCAGGCUUUUGCACCUGUUGGGUGUCAGAGCCGAGAUAAUCGAGGGAAGCUCACCUGGAGGCUAUCGGAGCAGAAGGAAUCGGAGGGGGUGGGGGGGGGGUAUGUAAACAUCGUUUGCCUGGUGGAGACGUCUUGACACGUCCCAAGCUGUCAAACGAAAAAUUGUUCACUCCAGCGCUUUGAGAAAAGCCCCGUGGUUGACUGAUUUCUUUCACUGUUCGAUGUCUUGUUGAACUGGAAUUUAAUGAGUUCAUUUUUGCACGAUGAAUUUUUGUACGAUCAACCUAAAAAAGGGAAUAUAGAGAAUUAUUCAGAAAGAAUUUGUCGGCAAUUUACUGUAGCUGGAGAUAUUUUACAUUUGAAAAAGCAGCACAGGGAUCUCGCGCACAAAGGAAUAUGCAUUUCCUAUUGCUAAACAGACAUGAAUAUUUAUUUGCUUAUUGGGUGAUUUAUGCAAAGCAAGACUGUAUUCCAUCCACCCCCAUUUAACACGGUGAAUGCAUUGUAGUGAAGUACCUUUUUUAAAAGAAAAAACCAUGCAGAGACCUGCUUGAACUUUCGUACAAUGUUGCCUGCUGUCCUUGUUGGAUUAUUGAUAAAGGUUUUGCAUUCAUUUUCUCAGCAUUUUCUCAGUUUGGUCAGAAACUGAGAAAUCACAAUCAGAUGGUGCCUAGGGCAAUUGGGGCUUAACGACCCGAUGGUGAAAUCACUCUGCUGACCCUGGGAUGUGAACCAGCGUCCUUCUCUUCAUAGCAUCCUAACCCAAAGAGCCACACGAUGCUGCUUAAAAAGCUCUAAAGUUUUCAGUCAAAAAGCCACGGUUGACUGUUGUUCAGAGUGCGGAAAAUGACUUCGGAGGCGAAUGAAGUGCCGCGCAUGCUGUCACAAUGUGAUAUUGAGUUCAACGUGGGGCAAAUUGAGUGUAAUCAAGUGGAACUUUACACGAGUCUCCUUGCUGUGCCAAUCAAGCUGAAAAAUACGCUCGUGGAGCGACUGUCAACCGGUGUGUGUCCCCCAAGUGCCAUCUCUACCAGAAACGUGUAAUAUUAGCUCGGCUUCAGCGGGAUGAAGAACAAGCAAAUGAUUGAUAACCGAUGAACGGGAUGGAAAUGGCUUUGCACCCAACGCAGAUGCCCAGCAGACUGCAGUGACAAUAGAGCAUUCGCCCCAACACAUACAAAGAAAAGAAAAACACCGAGAAUCAGAGAGAUCAAUCAAUUAAUCAAUUAUAAAUUAUUCCUGUCUCACACAGAACAAGUUUAAAAACAAGCUGUCAUAACAAGCUGUAUGAGGAUUAUAUAGACAAAAACAAAUAUUACCACAGUCAAUAUAAGUAAAAACUGAAAACUCUGUCUGGUUGACUGAGUGUGUAAACAAUUGUAUAUAUGUCUAAAUAACAAUCCCCCUAAAAAAGAGGGAAAAAAAUCAAUUUUACUAGAAGAAAAUAGAAAACAAUUCAGACCCCUGUCAAAUUCUGAGUUUGGAUUUUUCUCAAUGCUUACAGGAGAGUGAGAAACACAGACAUAGAUGGAAUGGUAAUGACAGGCGAUGCAAAUUACUGACUACAGCCUUGAGUAAUGCACAAAUGCACUUGCAAUCUUUCAGUCAUGCUCAGUCACUCUUCAGUUGCCCGGGAGGUCAUCUCGACCUACCCCAAGUCAGAUACGAGGUACUGGAGUGAUUCAGACUUCACACAAAUUUGCUCCUGGAAACUGUCAAUACGAAGCAAAUCUCGUCUUGUCUGCGGAAAACGUGGCACUCACCAGUACACGAUAUGAAAUUUGAUAAUCAUACAAAAUCUGGUGUUAAAAAUGUAAAAAAAUCGAACUAAAUAAUAUGUUGCGAUUGAGAUCCCAUAUUGAUGAAACACUUUAUCAUGUUAGUCAUUAUUAUAACUAUUCAUUUCUUUUUAAAAGAAUAAAUUUUAUGAGAAUGA